This 253-nucleotide ribosomal RNA is filed under the name uncultured bacterium. RNAcentral's name for it is "partial 16S ribosomal RNA". It matches the Rfam family "Bacterial small subunit ribosomal RNA", at positions 524 to 776 of the family's 1533-position model. The record is from RNAcentral.
GACGGAGGGUGCUAGCGUUGUUCGGAAUUACUGGGCGUAAAGGGCGCGUAGGCGGCUGCUCAAGUCGGGUGUGAAAGCCCGGGGCUCAACCCCGGAACGGCACCCGAGACUGGGCGGCUCGAGACCGGGAGAGGUGGGUGGAAUACCCAGUGUAGAGGCGAAAUUCGUAGAUAUUGGGUGGAACACCGGUGGCGAAAGCGGCUCACUGGCCCGGUUCUGACGCUGAGGCGCGAAAGCGUGGGGAGCAAACAGG